Molecule: long non-coding RNA, 4850 nt
Filed under: Homo sapiens (human)
Lineage: Eukaryota; Metazoa; Chordata; Mammalia; Primates; Hominidae
Description: HSALNT0043055
Source: RNAcentral
AAAAAAUUAAUUUCUGCGUUUUCUGCAAUGAACUAGGAGCAAUGGAUUGAAAAUAUUUGGCCAAAUAAUUUUUAUAAGCAUAACAAAAUUCCAUUUUUCUGGACCAAACCUCAUCAGCCCAACUAGGAAAGACGAUGCUGGAGGUGGGCUGUCUGACCAUCUGGAGAUUUCAGUGUGCUCCAUCCAUCUCAUGCCAACCUGACUUGCCAGAAUUAGGGUCACUGUGCUCUGAGACACUUUGAGAUGAUGCUCAAGGGAGCUGUGCUCUGCAGCCUCCUGGGUCCCUUCUGCAGGUGCACUUGCUUUUUCAAUCUGAUGCUAUUUUUCUUACCCUCUGUAGGCACUCACACGCAGAACUAUUAUUACUUGCUUGUUACUGCAUGUUGCUGAUUCAUACUCAUAGGAAAAAGUAAUUUUAUCUUCAACACCUCUUCCUUGUCAUUUAAGACAUAUGUUAAUGAAAGACAGAUUUUGGCAUCCACUUUUCUCUGUAGCUUUGAGGCCACAAUAUAGAUUCAUUAUAAAUGAAGAUGCAACUGUUAUUUUACUUCUAUUUAUAUUUAUAACUACACCAAAGCCAUCUUGCGGGUACCUUUGCGCCUCUCAAAUCCCCAACCAUAUUCCAAGAAACCGUAUUCCAAGAAAUGCUCAACAUUUCAUGCCUGAAUUGGUAUUAAUGUGGCAUUAAUGUACAUACAAUGUUUUAAAUAACGAUGUUUUCACUCAUAUUUUAUUAUGGACACCUCCUGAUUUCACAUAUUUUACAUUACCCUAGAGCUGAAUCCUUUUGAAGACAUUUUAAGGGUUUUUUUUCCCCACUGCAGUACAGAAUGCUUUUUUUCUUUAAGCGAGGAGUAUGCAAGUGAGAGUGCUCUGCGAGGAGGGAUGCCAAGUGGAAGGCUGAAGCCUGAGGGGGUGGGGCGAGUGCAGAACUAGGCAGAAGCAGAAUGCUGAAAAGAACUGAUUGAAAGCUUUUUGCUUUGUCAUUCCUCUCAGUUCCUUUCCUUCUCUUCUUUUCCAAUUUGUAAUUGUGGACAAGUGUAACCUACUUAUUUGCUAGAAUGAUUGGAUCUAGAAUGAGCCAUAACCUUGAAGGUCGUCUGAAACAAACUCCUCUCCACUGCUAUCGUUUUCUGCUUGACUCAGAAAGCUCUUUCUUCCCUGGUGCCUUUCCCAGCAGCAUUUGGGCCCAUCCAUUACAAGAGCAGCAAGUAGAGGUUUUGGAAUCAGAGAGUUCUGGGUCCGAGUUGUGACUCUGCUACUUACUAGAUGUGGUAUCCUGAGCAAGUUACCCAACAUCUCUUCUGUAAAUGGUUAUCAUCAAAAUGAAUUCCUAGGAGUUUGAGGAUUAAAUAAUGUGUAUAGUAUACACAAAAUCUAGCAUUCAGAGCUAAAUUAAGAGUAGCUAAGCAGUUCAAUAGGAACUAGGACCCAUGCUUCCUGUUUGACUCUGAGGCAACACUUUUUUCCAUGGAAAGAUACUGUCUUUCUUACAAUGUCUCAUAAAACCUUUGAAAAAGUCACUGUUGCUGGAAUACUGUGUGUACUGCCUUGUAGAUUAAUAACAAUACCUCACAUAUAUUUAAUGCUCUAGAAUUGACAAUGCACUUUCACAAGCGGGGAAAAUACCCACGCCAACACUAAGUCUCCUGAUGACUAACAGAGGCAGGAAGCAGGAGGAGCAGAGGCUUUGAAAGAGGUCGAUUAGUGAUGCAAAUGUGAAGUUAUCUGCACUUGUGAGGAGCAUAACAAACAUCAAAACCAAUUAGAAGUAACAAUGUGUGAUCUAUUCAGGCUUCAGGACUUUGAUGAGUUGGAAGUUUUGGGGUUUAACAAUCCAGAUGGUUCUGAUAGCUUUAAGUUUUGCCUCCAAGAGGGCAGCUAUCUGCAUAUGGGUGAAUUUUCACGUACAAGCUAGAGUACAGCAACGACUUAGAAUCACACACGGGUAGAAACCGGGACGUGUUCACAAUUUGUAGACAAAGCAUAUGGAAUCGAGAGAGGCAAAGCAAAUAAGUUCUCAGAAGUCAAUGUUAAAUGGGUGUUUCAAUACAGGCAAAUGUGUCAUACCGAAUGCAAAACUUUUAAUAAUAGAAACUGUUAUCUUGACUUUCUCACAACCUUCGGAAACAGUUCCUCAUGUGUGAGAAUUUUUACAUUUGGACGAUGCUCAAAAGUGAAUUUUUAGAAAUGGAGAAAAAAAUGAAGGGUGCAUUUAAACAAUAUAUUCCAUUGUUUCUGUACUGUAAGAAGAUGAAAGAAUAUACCUUUUACUCCUGGAAAGAAAAUGGUCCUUUUGAAAUUCAGCUCUCUCAGAAGAUGAAUUUUUAAAUAUCAAACUCUGCCUAACCAACUGGUCCUAGCUUUAUGGAUGUGAGGGGUAAAUUAGAAUUUCAUGCAGUUAUCAAAUAUUUUAAACUAAUACCCAAGCAGUUACAUUUGCAACGCUUCAUGAUUUCUUAACAUCUAUAGACAAAAUUCCAAAUAGGUCUUUCCCUUUUCUUUCUGUGCCAAAAUCUACAUUUCUAUCUAGCAGCAAACCCCGAGAAGGAAGUUGUUGUAGGUAGGUUAAGAGACAGAAAGACUGACCAGGCAAGCAGAAGACACUGGUGGAAAUGGCCCUGCUGCGCAGCCAUGUGGAAUAGGAAGGCUAUGCUGGACAGAGCCCAAAAGAGACCAGUUUGUGUCUCACAGUCCAAAUUUGGUUGAUGUAUUUUUGAAGCUUCUAAAGGUUAACUCACAUGCUGUAAUACAUUAUAGAAAGACACGAAGCCGAAUUUUACUGUGCCAGUCAAGAGGCUGGCUUGAAUCCGCUAUUUAGAACUGAGAGAGACAGUACAAUUUACAUGUGUGAGAAUGUGAGAAUAAUUUUACCUUCUGUUGUUUUUGAAACCACCUUGGGCCAUGAUUUUUAAACGGAGACACAAGGAGAUCUGCUGGGGUUCCCAUAGCAACAUUAACUUAUCUAAACUGCCCUUGCUGUAUGUAAUACUUUCAUGACUAGUUUGGCUUUUUAAUGUACACUUUAAUUAUGAAAUACAACUGAGUUAAGAGUCUUGGGCAAAUUUUAAUGUUUAUAUUUACUGACUUAUGCAUGUUUAAACAGAAAGCUUGAUAAUUGUACUUUUGAGGACUUGCCAUCAAGGCAAGUUUGUGCAAAAACCUUUAUGUGGUCUUCCUUGCCACUGAUCUCUGACCUCACUCCAUUCCAUUCUAUAGACAACUCCUCAACCUCUCUCAAUACAUUUAUAAGACACCAUAUCUCAAACUGAUCUCAGAUGGCUCCAGUUCAGAGACUAGAAGUCAUACACCUGCUAGUCUAGGUUAUCUACAAGCUGACCCCCUUCCCAUCUUUUCUACCUAUCCCUCAUCAUUAAUGUCCCACACCACACUUGUCUUCUCACCAUCUGCUGAGAAUGUACAUUCAAGAACUAGCCUGAGACCUACCUCCCCCAAGAAACCUGAUUCUUCUCCAUUCUUUUUCAGAGCUAAUCUCUCUCUCUCUCUCUGGAAAUACUAUUACUACUGCUACCACUGCUAUAUGAUGUGUUGGCUGUGACUGGACAGCAUCCCUCCCCUGGUGUUUUUUGACAGCAGUGUCUUGAUUUUCCUUUGAAGAACUUUCUUCCAUUCCAGGAAGUGAAAUUUCCUUCCACUCCAGGUUGGAGUGCAGUGGUGCGAUCUCAGCUCACUGCAACCUCUGCCUCCCAGGCUCAAAAGAUCCUCCCAGCUCAGCCUCCUGAGUAGCUGGGACAACAGGUGCGUGCCACCAUCACUGGCUAAUUUUUGUAUUUUUGGUAGAGAUAGGGUUUUUCCCAUGUUGCCCAUUCUGGUGGCAUCAUCAAUUAAGCUGCCCUGCCCCAGCCUGUUAAGAGAUGAACCAAUGACUAAAGCUGGACCAAUGAUAUUCUUCUAGAAAUUGGAUUUUAAGUGAAUUCAGAAAGAAAAAACAGUUGGAACUUAAUUAUUCCAAUGAUGGUUCUUUCAAGAGAGUAUUUAUUUAUUCUAGGUUCUGUGGUUCAUAAUCAAAGUCUGCUAGCUGGUAAGUUCCCUAUUUGAGUGUUUGUAUAUUGUCUUAGAUCAUGAUUUACAGGUUUGGGAUAUGCACAUUUUGUUUUGCCAGCUGUACUCUAUUUAUGCUCCCUGAAGAGCAUAAACAAGGCUGGGUCUUUAUUGUUCAUAUUAUUCCACUGAAUUUAGCACUCAAUAUGUAAGUAGUCAAUAAAUAUUAUGUAAUGAGUAUGAGACUAAUCUUAAAAACUUCAUUUCUACAAAAUGUGAUUUGCAAGCCAACUUAUGUCCUUUUUGAAGCAAGGGAGUAAAUAAAUUUUUUUUUUUUUUUUUGAUACGCAGUCUAACAACUGUCACCCAGGCUGGAGGGCAGUGGUGUCAUCUCGGCUCACUGCAACCUCUGCCUCCCGGGUUCAAGUGAUUCUCCUGCCUCAGCCUCCCGAGUAGCUGGGAUUACAGGUGCCCACCACCACGCCUGGCUAAUUUUUUUUGUAUUUUUAGUAGAGACAGGGUUUCACAGUGUUGGUCAGGCUGGUCUUGAACUCCUGACCUCAUGAUCCGCCUCCUCGGCCUCCCAAAGUGCUGGGAUUACGGGCUUGAGCGACUGCGCCCGGCCCUCGAGGGGAUAAAUACAUUUUUAACUGCCACAAUUUAAGAAUUCUCUUGGGUAUGACAGUUGUCUUAAACAGAGCUUACCACUGAUACCAGAAAGGGUCUGGAUCCAGACGCCAAGAGAGGAUUCUUGGAUCUUGUGCAAGAAAGAAUUGAGUCCAUACAGCAAAGUGAAAACAAGUUUAAGUAAAGAAUAGGCUGGGCGCGGUGGCUCACACCUGUAAUCC